RNAcentral lists this ribosomal RNA (497 nucleotides) under uncultured bacterium. RNAcentral describes it as "partial 16S ribosomal RNA". It matches the Rfam family "Bacterial small subunit ribosomal RNA", at positions 28 to 507 of the family's 1533-position model. The record is from RNAcentral.
GAUGAACGCUGGCGGCGUGCCUAAUACAUGCAAGUCGAGCGAACGGACGAGAAGCUUGCUUCUCUGAUGUUAGCGGCGGACGGGUAAGUAACACGUGGAUAACCUACCUAUAAGACUGGGAUAACUUCGGGAAACCGGAGCUAAUACCGGAUAAUAUUUUGAACCGCAUGGUUCAAAAGUGAAAGACAGUCUUGCUGUCACUUAUAGAUGGAUCCGCGCUGCAUUAGCUAGUUGGUAAGGUAACGGCUUACCAAGGCAACGAUGCAUAGCCGACCUGAGAGGGUGAUCGGCCACACUGGAACUGAGACACGGUCCAGACUCCUACGGGAGGCAGCAGUAGGGAAUCUUCCGCAAUGGGCGAAAGCCUGACGGAGCAACGCCGCGUGAGUGAUGAAGGUCUUCGGAUCGUAAAACUCUGUUAUUAGGGAAGAACAUAUGUGUAAGUAACUGUGCACAUCUUGACGGUACCUAAUCAGAAAGCCACGGCUAACUACGUG